AAAUCUCCUAUGCUCCGCGUCAUUGCAAGUCUACCAUUCACGUGUGGUUGUCCCAAACUGUUCCAGGCAACGAAGCCACCAGACUUCCUGAUCCUGUCCAGAGGCACAAAAGAGAAAGCAAAUGUCCAACCUGGCAGCAGCACAGACUGACUGAAGCUCUUCCCCAAGAAGCCAUAAUAUCAUCCACCAGGUACCUUUCCUUCUCCUCCUUCCUUUCUGGCGUAUGGUCAAUAGUGAGUUUCAUAGCCUUUCCUUUUCGACACAGCAGGGCACGGCUGUCUCCCACACUUGCCACAACCAACUGAAUACCAUCCUGGAGCAGGGCCACUGUCGCAGUGGUCCCAGAGUUCAUCAGAGUUGCUACAAACAUCAGAGAGAGAGAGGUUUUAACACUGCCUUAAAGCAUGGGAACAUUUACAAGACAGUAACAGUGCCAAUUGGUUAAACCAAAGACUUGUGCUCUACGUUACCAGCUUGUUCCAUGGGGCAGGGAGUACACAGAGAAGUACUCGAUGCCAUGUCUGUUGUUAAGGGAAGUGUUCACCAUCUGGUGUUCCUGCUGCCCCUUUCGGACUAAGUGGCUGUAUAACAGAGGAUGACUAGCGGCAGCGUGUCACCCACAGUUCGUUUUUGGCCCUAAAGAAGGAAGCUCUAUGGCCAGGAACCACUAAGAGUGUAUCCAUAGACAUGUACAAUUACUCACUUGAACUUCACAGAAUGGAGUCCAUGCAGCUCUGAGCUUUCUGUCUGGCCUGAUGUUCUCUACUCAGACCCAACCCUGAAAUGAGAUCCCUUGGGAAACAAGGAGACCAAGUUCUUCCACUGACUUUUAUUUGGAUGUCUUUUCUGGUCCAGAUGCAUUAAACGCACCAGCUGGCUCAGCACAGCUAGAAACUGAUUAAUGCUUAUUCAUCUAGGAUGCUGAAAAAUACAGAGAUCAUCUUAUUUAACCAUUUGCAGAAUAAUGCUUAACAUGAUGAAAGUCAAACAAGCUGGGGUGCAUUGGGUAAUAAGUCCACAUUGUUGCACCAGAUAAGUUUGAACUGGACCACCAGAUCCCUGAAACUAAGCGUGCUAGGUUUUCAGCAAGGAAUUGCUCUUGUUAUUGCUAAAUGUUUGUGGGUGUGUUGGGUAGUUACCGAGAGCAGAAUUACAAGUGAAAGAUGUUCUAUACUGUAAUGAAGGGAUUAAAAAUAAACAGGCUUGUGAUGAACGCUAAUGCAUCAAAUGGCACAAAUAUCUGAUGUAAUCCAGCGGCAAAGAGCAAGCAAUACAUGUACUCCUGAAACACAGUUAUUCAGGGCUGGAGCAGCCUGCUGUUGUAUUCCAGACAGCAAUUGCAGCUGUGGUUUUGAAAUACUGGUUUAAACUAUUUUUUUUAAAUCCUGCACAAAAUCUGUGCUUGCAGAAAUUUUCAGUCAAAGGUAGGUUUGUAAGCAGUUGCUUUAUUAGAAGAUGGCUGUGAUAUGAGCUUUCUGCAGGCCUACAGUAAACCUGUCAUUCACAGCUCAAAGCAUAUAGUUCUAGACGCCCCUUGGCUUAUCGUGAAUACACUUCCUUAUGUGAGGAAAUAUAUGUAUUUAUUUAUCAUUUACAGCGUAACAGUUCACUCAAUAAAUACCCGACAAGCUGGGAAUCAAUAUUGUAACAGAUGAAAUCGGCCUUGGCUACCAGCUGAGUGCAACUGACCAAUGUCAAUUUCGAGUGAUCUUCCAUUUUAUUCCUGGAUGUCUGCAAUAUCUCACCCUUAUUUCACUAUACUCACGGGUGCUUAAUAACUCAUUUACUUUCUUGACUGUUUAUUUUCUGUUGCCCUUGACUCACAGCAACAGUAUGGUGAAGCACAGCAUGACAAAAUCCAAAGCCUGCCAACUUAGGAAACCCGCACUCAGAUUCACUUCCGUCAGCUUGAAAGAACAUGAAAAACUAGCUAUAUUUAAACUUCCUAGUAUCCGCAUAUCCACAGCAUGAUUUGGAAGAUUAAUCCAAAAUACAGAGCUAAUUAACGUGUUUAUUCCCAUCAAACAGAUCUCUCAAAAGUCCUUUUUCUCCAGGCAAGUACAAACAGCAAUGGCUGGCUUUUCUCUGCAAGCAAGGAAUAGGAAACGGAGCUGUAACUGCCGUGAUGUAAAUAGUUAGGCUUUCAGCUGGCUGCAGCACAGGCUGUACUUUCCUAGCGGAUACGUUGCCAAACCCUGAGCAAGUCUAUCGGGGACAAACAAGAUGAAGGCAUUGUAAAAGGCAGUGCUGGUGCUACAGCCCAAGUGCAUGCAGCAAGGCUGUAGAUGCUCCAUCUGAUCCCGAUAGUCUGCACCUAUUUAACCUACAAAAAUAGUUUUUCUAGAUAGCCAAGAACGUGCAGUAAUUGCGGUUAAUGAUUAAGCCAUAGUUCAAGCUGUAUGGUGCCCCUUUGGCAGGGUGGCAGCUUCACGGCAGAUGGAAAGUCUCCAUACCGAGAUGAAAGAAAAAAGGAAAAAAAACACCACAACCCAAGAAGAAAGCAUGCAUGCCUGGCGCCCCACUAAGCUUAAUACCUGCAAACCGGGACGCGAACCCCUCAGCACGCCCUGAAUAAGGAGAAGACGCGUCAGCUGUGCAUCAGCCACCGUAGGACUCGCCUCCGUCCAUCUUGGACAGCUUGCUUCUGUUACUGGUAAAGCUUAGAAAUAAAAUCCUGCGUCUAAAAACCGUA
Non-coding RNA from Anas platyrhynchos (mallard), 2692 nucleotides. The record is from RefSeq and is a predicted model, not a curated record. NCBI's taxonomy places the organism in Eukaryota, Metazoa, Chordata, Aves, Anseriformes, Anatidae.